AUUGAACGCUGGCGGCAGGCCUAACACAUGCAAGUCGAGCGGAUGAAGGGAGCUUGCUCCUGGAUUCAGCGGCGGACGGGUGAGUAAUGCCUAGGAAUCUGCCUGGUAGUGGGGGAUAACGUCCGGAAACGGGCGCUAAUACCGCAUACGUCCUGAGGGAGAAAGUGGGGGAUCUUCGGACCUCACGCUAUCAGAUGAGCCUAGGUCGGAUUAGCUAGUUGGUGGGAUAAAGGCCUACCAAGGCGACGAUCCGUAACUGGUCUGAGAGGAUGAUCAGUCACACUGGAACUGAGACACGGUCCAGACUCCUACGGGAGGCAGCAGUGGGGAAUAUUGGACAAUGGGCGAAAGCCUGAUCCAGCCAUGCCGCGUGUGUGAAGAAGGUCUUCGGAUUGUAAAGCACUUUAAGUUGGGAGGAAGGGCAGUAAGUUAAUACCUUGCUGUGUUGACGUUACCAACAGAAUAAGCACCGGCUAACUUCGUG
RNAcentral lists this ribosomal RNA (484 nucleotides) under uncultured bacterium. RNAcentral's name for it is "partial 16S ribosomal RNA". It matches the Rfam family "Bacterial small subunit ribosomal RNA", at positions 30 to 507 of the family's 1533-position model. The record is from RNAcentral.